Molecule: ribosomal RNA, 404 nt
Filed under: Actinomycetes bacterium
Lineage: Bacteria; Bacillati; Actinomycetota; Actinomycetes
Description: Actinobacteria bacterium partial 16S ribosomal RNA
Rfam family: Bacterial small subunit ribosomal RNA
Source: RNAcentral
UGGGGAAUAUUGGACAAUGGGCGCAAGCCUGAUCCAGCCAUGCCGCGUGAGUGAUGAAGGCCCUAGGGUUGUAAAGCUCUUUCACCGGUGAAGAUAAUGACGGUAACCGGAGAAGAAGCCCCGGCUAACUUCGUGCCAGCAGCCGCGGUAAUACGAAGGGGGCUAGCGUUGUUCGGAUUUACUGGGCGUAAAGCGCACGUAGGCGGACUUUUAAGUCAGGGGUGAAAUCCCGGGGCUCAACCCCGGAACUGCCUUUGAUACUGGAAGUCUUGAGUAUGGUAGAGGUGAGUGGAAUUCCGAGUGUAGAGGUGAAAUUCGGAGAUAUUAGGAGGAACACCAGUGGCGAAGGCGGCUCACUGGACCAUUACUGGCGCUGAGGUGCGAAAGCGUGGGGAGCAGACAGG